RNAcentral lists this ribosomal RNA (253 nucleotides) under uncultured bacterium. RNAcentral describes it as "partial 16S ribosomal RNA". It matches the Rfam family "Bacterial small subunit ribosomal RNA", at positions 524 to 776 of the family's 1533-position model. The record is from RNAcentral.
UACAUGUGGGGCAAGCGUUGUUCGGAAUUACUGGGCAUAAAGGGUGCGUAGGCGGUUUGUUAAGUCAGGGGUGAAAGUUUUCGGCCCAACCGGAAAAUGGCCUCUGAUACUGGCGAACUCGAGUGCGUGAGGGGUAACCGGAACGAGUGGUGUAGCGGUGAAAUGCGUAGAUAUCACUCGGAAGGCCAACGGCGAAGGCAGGUUACUGGUACGCAACUGACGCUGAGGCACGAAAGCGUGGGGAGCAAACAGG